Molecule: transfer RNA, 72 nt
Filed under: Capra hircus (goat)
Lineage: Eukaryota; Metazoa; Chordata; Mammalia; Artiodactyla; Bovidae
Also listed under: 1 other name
Rfam family: tRNA
About the family: Transfer RNA (tRNA) molecules are approximately 80 nucleotides in length.
Source: Rfam by way of RNAcentral
UCCCUGGUGGCUCAGAUGGUAAAGAAUCUGCCUGCCAAGCAGGAGACCUGGGUUCGAUCCCUGGGUUGGGAA